UACGGAAGGGGCUAGCGUUGGUCGGAAUUACUCGGCGUAAAGAGCGUGUAGGCGGCUUACCAAGUUGGGGGUGAAAUCCCGGAUCUCAACUUCGGAACUGCCUUCAAAACUGGUAGGACCGAGUCCGGAAGAGGGGCGUGGAAUUUCCAGUAUAGAGGUUAAAUUCGUAGAUAUUGGGAACAACACCGGUGGCGAAGGCGUCGCCCUGGUCCGGUACUGACUCUGAGGCGCGAAAGCGUUGGGAGCAAACAGG
This 253-nucleotide ribosomal RNA is filed under the name uncultured bacterium. RNAcentral's name for it is "partial 16S ribosomal RNA". It matches the Rfam family "Bacterial small subunit ribosomal RNA", at positions 524 to 776 of the family's 1533-position model. The record is from RNAcentral.